AGUGAACGCUGGCGGUAGGCCUAACACAUGCAAGUCGAACGGCAGCACAGUAAGAGCUUGCUCUUACGGGUGGCGAGUGGCGGACGGGUGAGGAAUACAUCGGAAUCUACUUUUUCGUGGGUGAUAACGUAGGGAAACUUACGCUAAUACCGCAUACGACCUACGGGUGAAAGCAGGGGAUCUUCGGACCUUGCGCGAUUGAAUGAGCCGAUGUCGGAUUAGCUAGUUGGCGGGGUAAAGGCCCACCAAGGCAACGAUCCGUAGCUGGUCUGAGAGGAUGAUCAGCCACACUGGAACUGAGACACGGUCCAGACUCCUACGGGAGGCAGCAGUGGGGAAUAUUGGGCAAUGGGCGCAAGCCUGAUCCAGCCAUACCGCGUGGGUGAAGAAGGCCUUCGGGUUGUAAAGCCCUUUUGUUGGGAAAGAAAAGCAGCAGGUUAAUACCCCGCUGUUCUGACGGUACCCAAAGAAUAAGCACCGGCUAACUUCGUG
This 492-nucleotide ribosomal RNA is filed under the name uncultured bacterium. RNAcentral describes it as "partial 16S ribosomal RNA". It matches the Rfam family "Bacterial small subunit ribosomal RNA", at positions 29 to 507 of the family's 1533-position model. The record is from RNAcentral.